AAGCUGUCGCGCGACUGGCGGAAGUGGAAUGAACCACAUGGAGCGCGACCAAAGAAAAGCCGACCGCCUGGGCAAACCGC
Molecule: non-coding RNA, 80 nt
Filed under: Dehalogenimonas sp.
Lineage: Bacteria; Bacillati; Chloroflexota; Dehalococcoidia; Dehalococcoidales; Dehalococcoidaceae
Description: ZTP sequence
Rfam family: ZMP/ZTP riboswitch aptamer (pfl RNA motif)
About the family: Previously known as pfl RNA.
Source: RNAcentral